This 255-nucleotide ribosomal RNA is filed under the name uncultured bacterium. RNAcentral's name for it is "partial small subunit ribosomal RNA". It matches the Rfam family "Bacterial small subunit ribosomal RNA", at positions 26 to 285 of the family's 1533-position model. The record is from RNAcentral.
AGGACGAACGCUGGCGGCGUGCUUAACACAUGCAAGUCGAGCGGAAAGGCCCUUCGGGGUACUCGAGCGGCGAACGGGUGAGUAACACGUGGGCAGCCUGCCCCUAGCUCUGGGAUAACUCCGGGAAACCGGUGCUAAUACCGGAUAUGACCUCAUUAGGCAUCCUUUGAGGUGGAAAGAUUUAUUGGCUAGGGAUGGGCCCGCGGCCUAUCAGCUUGUUGGUGGGGUAAUGGCCUACCAAGGCGACGACGGGUA